Non-coding RNA from Oncorhynchus mykiss (rainbow trout), 1908 nucleotides. The record is from RefSeq and is a predicted model, not a curated record. Lineage: Eukaryota; Metazoa; Chordata; Actinopteri; Salmoniformes; Salmonidae.
CAACAGCAGAAAGAGAAAGGGUUUGCCUAGAGAAACAUGUUUAUUUGAUUAAAGAUACCCUGCGUAUAUAAAAUUGAAGACAUGAGUAAAAGCUGAUCACGUUCUACCAAAGUGAAAGAUGCGAAAACCGUUCCACGGUCGCUGUUUCACCCGGUCAAUAGGAAAGUGAACACACUCAGAUGUAAACAAGAGAAAAACAUGGCUUCGCCCUUGAUCAGGUGCUUCUCAAAGGUUGGUAGGCAGGUGUCCCGACCAUGGAGUGUGUGCCAACAUGGGCUGCGGAACAGAUCCACCCAACCAGACAUGUCUGCAGAGCAGGCUGCUGCUCUGGGGGUCACCUACCCUCCACUACAGACAUAUUCUGAGGAGGAGGGGAUGAUGAGGGAUGCUGUGAACAAGUUUGCACAGGAGCGUCUUGCCCCGUUCGUGUCGAAGAUGGACGAAAACUCUCUCAUGGACCCGGAAGUGAUAAAGUCCCUCUUUGAACAGGGGCUGAUGGGCAUAGAGAUCGACCCAGAGUACGGAGGCACCGGCUCCACGUUCUUCUCCUCCAUCCUGGUCAUUGAGGAGCUGGCCAAAGUGGACGCCUCCGUGGCCGUGCUGUGUGACAUCCAGAACACCCUCAUCAACACGCUGUUCACCAAGCUGGGGACCGCAGCCCAGAAAGAGAGGUAUCUCAGCCGGCUGUCAACAGACAUGGUUGGUAGUUUCUGCCUGUCAGAAGCAGAGUCGGGUAGCGAUGCCUUCUCUCUGAAGACCCGCGCUGACAAACAUGGAGACUAUUACGUCAUCAACGGUUCCAAGAUGUGGAUCAGCAACGCAGAGCAAGCCGGGGUGUUUCUGGUGAUGGCCAACGUGGACCCGUCUGCUGGUCACCGAGGUAUCACCUGCUUCAUCGUGGACAGAGACACCGAGGGGCUUCAGAUCGGCAAGAAGGAGAACAAACUGGGUCUGAGAGCUUCUUCAACCUGUCCUCUCAACCUGGAUAACAUCAAGGUUCCUGAGAAGAACGUCUUGGGUCAGAUCGGCCACGGAUACAAGUACGCCAUCGGCAUGCUGAACGAGGGCAGGAUUGGGAUCGCCGCUCAGAUGCUGGGCCUGGCUCAGGGUUGCUUCGACCAGGCCGUUCCCUACACCAGACAGAGGGUUCAGUUUGGCAAACGCAUCUUCGACUUCCAGGCCAUGCAGCACCAGAUCGCCCAUGUAGCCACCCAGAUAGAGGCUGCCAGGCUGCUUACCUACAACGCUGCCCGGCUGAAGGAGGCUGGAAGACCUUUCAUCAAGGAGGCCUGCAUGGCCAAGUACUUCACCUCAGAGGUGGCAACGUUGACCACUUCAAAAUGCAUCGAGUGGAUGGGAGGGGUAGGCUUCACCAAAGACUACCCUGUUGAGAAGUACUACAGAGAUUGUAAAAUAGGUACCAUUUAUGAGGGCACAACCAACAUCCAGCUGUCCACCAUGGCCAAGUUUAUAGACAAGGAGUAUGAUCACUGACCUCCUGACCUGGUCUGGCUGUUUCCUCAUCGUGUAGACUGAUCUCCUGACCUGACCUCCUGCCCUGGUCUGGCUGUUUCCUCAUCGUGUAGACUGAUCUCCUGACCUGACCUCCUGCCCUGGUCUGGCUGUUUCCUCAUCGUGUAGACUGACCUCCUGACCUGGUCUCCUGCCCUGGUCUGGCUGUUUCCUCAUCGUGUAGACUGACCUCCUGACCUGGUCUCCUGCCCUGGUUUGGCUGUUUCCUCAUCGUGUAGACUGACCUCCUGACCUGGUCUCCUGACCUGAUCUGGCUGUUUCCUCAUCGUGUAGACUGACCUCCUGACCUGGUCUCCUGACCUGAUCUGGCUGUUUCCUCAUCGUGUAGACUGAUCUCCUGACCUGGUCUCCUGACCUGGUCUCCUGACCGUAUUC